GAUGAACGCUGGCGGCGUGCCUAACACAUGCAAGUCGAGCGAAAAGACGAGGAGAUUGUUCUUUUGACGUUAGCGGGGGACGGGCGAGUAAGACGUGCAUAACCAACUUAUAAUACUGGGAGAAUAACGGAAAACAGGAGACAAUAAUGGCUAAUAUAUUCAACCGCAUGGUUCAAUAGAGCAUGGCGGCUUUGCUGUCUGAUUUAGCUGGAUCCGCGCCGCAUUAUCUAGUUGGUAAGGUAACGGCCAACCAAGGCAACGAUGCGUAGCCGACCUGAGAGGGUGAUCAGCCACACUGGAACUGAGACACGGUCCAGACUCCUACGGGAGGCAGCAGUAGGGAAUCUUCGGCAAUGGGCGAAAGCCUGAUGCAGCAACGCCGCGUGGGUGAUGAAGGUCUUCGGAUCGUAAAGCUCUGUUAUUAGGAAAGAACAGAUGUGUAAGUAACCAUGGACGUCUUGACGGUACCUAAUCAAAAAGCCACGGCUAACUACGUG
RNAcentral lists this ribosomal RNA (497 nucleotides) under uncultured bacterium. RNAcentral describes it as "partial 16S ribosomal RNA". It matches the Rfam family "Bacterial small subunit ribosomal RNA", at positions 28 to 507 of the family's 1533-position model. The record is from RNAcentral.